UGGGGAAUUUUGGACAAUGGGCGAAAGCCUGAUCCAGCAAUGCCGCGUGUGUGAAGAAGGCCUUCGGGUUGUAAAGCACUUUUGUCCGGGAAAGAAAUCCUUGGCUCUAAUACAGUCGGGGGAUGACGGUACCGGAAGAAUAAGCACCGGCUAACUACGUGCCAGCAGCCGCGGUAAUACGUAGGGUGCAAGCGUUAAUCGGAAUUACUGGGCGUAAAGCGUGCGCAGGCGGUUUGCUAAGACCGAUGUGAAAUCCCCGGGCUCAACCUGGGAACUGCAUUGGUGACUGGGCAGGCUAGAGUAUGGCAGGAGGGGGGUAGAAUUCCACGUGUGAGCAGUGAAAUGCGUAGAGAUGUGGAGGAAUACCGAUGGCGAAGGCAGCCCCCUGGGCCAAUACUGACGCUCAUGCACGAAAGCGUGGGGGA
This 425-nucleotide ribosomal RNA is filed under the name uncultured bacterium. Its description in RNAcentral is "partial 16S ribosomal RNA". It matches the Rfam family "Bacterial small subunit ribosomal RNA", at positions 355 to 768 of the family's 1533-position model. The record is from RNAcentral.